This 253-nucleotide ribosomal RNA is filed under the name uncultured bacterium. RNAcentral's name for it is "partial 16S ribosomal RNA". It matches the Rfam family "Bacterial small subunit ribosomal RNA", at positions 524 to 776 of the family's 1533-position model. The record is from RNAcentral.
UACGGGGGGGGCAAGCGUUGUUCGGAAUUACUGGGCGUAAAGGGCUCGUAGGCGGCCAACUAAGUCAGACGUGAAAUCCCUCGGCUUAACCGGGGAACUGCGUCUGAUACUGGAUGGCUUGAGGUUGGGAGAGGGAUGCGGAAUUCCAGGUGUAGCGGUGAAAUGCGUAGAUAUCUGGGGGAACACCGGUGGCGAAGGCGGCAUCCUGGACCAAUUCUGACGCUGAGGAGCGAAAGCCAGGGGAGCAAACGGG